This is a long non-coding RNA of Poecilia latipinna (sailfin molly), 8863 nucleotides long. RefSeq lists it as uncharacterized. NCBI's taxonomy places the organism in Eukaryota, Metazoa, Chordata, Actinopteri, Cyprinodontiformes, Poeciliidae. The transcript has 2 exons. The record is from RefSeq and is a predicted model, not a curated record.
GCACGUGUUCCUUAUCUGGAGGAACUGAACCUGCCUCGAUGGUGCUGGGGUUCGUCAUUGCUAACGUGCUGACGUCAUGGAGAUUUCGGGGAAAAUAAUAGGAAAUUGUGGUCCAACGUUGCCCGUGGGGAACAUCCCAGCAGCCGUUAUCCAGAGGACGGACUACAAUUUAUUACAUUUCCAAACCCCAAACGCAAUCUGGAAUAAUGCAAGAGAUGGAUGAAGGCCUGUAGCCGACCUCAUGUCCAAAUGAAUGAAACUGAUGACAGCAACUACCCCAUGUUCAUCUGCACGAAGGGCUCUGGAGUCUUGGCCUGACCUAUUGACAUUCAGCUUCUCGCCAGAUUAAGCAGCGAAUGGAGCCUCUAGAAAGGGUAAACACACUGGAGGAACAAUGACCAACAGGCAGCAACCUUAUUGGAUUCUAAUUAACUGCCAGGAGAGAUGGCUACGGGGAUGUUAAGUGCUGUGGGACACAAGUUAAACCCCCAGACCUCAAGCACCACAACUCGCAUCACCAAUUGUCUUCCUUUAUGAGGACUGUUAAUGUCCUUUCUGUAUAUUUAUUUGUGUCAUUCCGUUUCUCGUUCUCAGGACUCCUACAUAGGGGGUUGAGAGAAGCACAAGAAGGAUGAAAAGAUUAUGUAACUUUCUGAGAGCUGAAAAAACAAUGAGAAUAAAUAUCCAUCCAUCCAGCCAUUCACUUUCGCAGAUUCCACAUUUAAAGCUUUGCCAAUAUACCUAAAGCAUACCAGCGUUUUCUAUUUAGUAUUUAAAAAUAUGAGUCUGGAAAAGUUCAGAAUUUUGACUUAAAAAAUGUGUAGGAACUUUAACGUCCUUUAGUUUGAAUCACAUUACCGUCUGUUUUACAUGCGAUACAUAAGAACAGCAAACAGACACUUUUCAAAGCACAAAGAAAUUGUGGGCUGACUCACCCACAAUUUUUUUUUUUUUUUGUUUUGUUUUAUUUGACAAGGUGGAACGCAGCUUGUCCCCCUGAGGCAGCGGUUUGACUGAUCAGGUUAAAAUGGGCUGAAAAAUCGGGAGAGAUUAUUUUAUAUUAAACAGAUUGAAUUGUCUCCAGUGAAGAAUAAGGAAGAAGAAGAGGAAAAUCAUUUUUCUGCAUCGCCCUCAGGAGGAGAAGUGAGGGAGAUAAAUGGGAAGGAGUGAGCAGCCGAUCCUCAGUGGUCACAAAUCUGAAAAAUGCAACCUUUUCUUCCUUUGCUCCCUCUCCGCGCCCAAAAGAUGUGGGGCGCUAAUUUGAGGGAGUCCAAACUGGCCGGGCAUACAUGUGAACGUCCCCCCGCUUGAGCGCUGGGCACUCUUGUCUUUUUUUUUAGUGGUCCCCUGAUUAGGCUAACUCACAAUGGUGAUGUGGUUUCAGGGGUCCCUGGUAUGAAACCACAAGCACUAAUUAGACUGGGCUCAUUAAUGCGUUAGUGUGCGGGAGAGAGGACCCGGACCACCAAGGGUUGAGACUGACACGGGAGGGGGGAUGCAAUGCCUGACUGGAGACAGGCCAUUGUCACCUCAGCCGGCAUAUAAAGCCUUUCAUUAAUUAGUGUGAAAACACACAUGCACACACAGAGCGGCAUAUGUACACAAAACCACAUGCAGACUCUCACUUCCUUGAAAAUACACAUAUUAAGGCUAUGGGUAUUCCAUAUACCCACUGCUUGUUAGCACAUUACCUUGAAUCAAAGAGCCAACGUUUGCCAGAAGAGACGGCUACAAGUGUUAUUUGUUGAGGAUGAUUCCAGCCCAGUGUUAUGCGUUUGUCCUUUGGCAACCCUGGCGAGAUAAAGUUUUUUUUCUCUCCCGCACAGAACGAACAAACCUCUUCCCUUGUCCCCAUCAUGUGAGAGCCUCUGAAACCCUCAGAAACCCUCAGAAUACUUUUUUUUAAAUCAAAGCACGAAGGAAAUGAAUAAGAGCCUCAGUUGUGAUCUGAGCCUGGAGGUGUAAACGGGGGCGGGGGGAUCCACAUGACCAGUGUCCAUUUCCACACCAUUACUGCACCAGUCAUGGCUGUAAUGGCUUGAAUUGGGUCAUUGAUUUCUCUCAUCCACCCUGUCUUUCACUCACAAAAAAUAAAAAAAUAAAAACAGUCUGUGCAGGUUCCGCUAUAUGAGCCCAGACCUUUUUAAACAGAAUGUUGAAUGUGCCAAGACAGCUUUGCACUAGAUGUAAACCCUAAGCCUACAGCACAGGUACCACUGGUGCUACCUGGGCUGCCUUAGUGGUGCUCUAGAAGGCUUUUGAUAUCACUUGUUUGCAAAGUAACUGAUGUAGAUAUUUGUUUCAUCAGAACCUUCUAAAUAGAUGUAUGUAUAUUUACUAUAAUCUGUGGCUAUACUUUUGUUGUUUUGAAGACAAAAUCUAAUUAAGGUGUAUUCUCGUUUAAAUACUUAAUAAUGGUACCAAAUCACCUACAUUUGCUACAAGAUAUGCUCAGUUAUCAGGCUAAUUAUCAAUACAAGGUGAUAACAAUAUUCUAUCCAUGUUGUGCCUUUAGUCGACAUAUGAAAGGUUUUGGAGGAUAAAAAUUAGAUGUGCAGCUAAGCUGGUUUUAUUGUAUCUAAAUUCUAUGAAAAAGAAAAAACAAUUACGCUGACGACUGAGGUUGGGUUGGGUGAGAAAAAUCAUAAUUUUCCAAUUUAAAUUCCAAAUUCAAGGUGAUAAUUCUGGGAACUAUUCCAAAUUCAAAACAUGGAAAUUUCCCCCUUGACUUAAAAUGGAACACAUGAUUGAGCCACAUCAUUCAACCAUUCAGUAGCACAAAUGAGAACUUUUUCUUCUUUUUUUCAUAAAUAAAGUAACUUAGAAAACUUACAAAGUCCAAAUUCUGCUUUACUAGUGUUGUAAAUUUCAUUUCAGUGUGGUGCUACUUGUAAAUCCGGUGCAUAAAAAGCGGGGGAACUAACGCCUUGAGUCAGAAAAAAAUAACCUACAUGCAAACUCUCCCGCGCAACCAAUGCAGUGAGUCCAGGUUUGAGUUCCUAGAGGGGUUAAACAUAGGACUGAGUUUAAAUUGGCUUUUUAAAAACUCCCUUGACCGCUCACGGAGUUAAACACGAGCCACUACAGUCUGUCAGAUGUCUGUUUAGAGAAAGAGGAAUGACUAAGUGGAGGUUUAGAGUGUGGUUAAUGGCUAAUCUGAAGUGUGACGACUCCAGAGCAUCUUCUCUUGACCAGCCUCAAUGGGCCUCCAAUCAAGCCUGACAAGCCCUUCAAUCCUUGGUCAGCAGUUUUAACUGACCUGUGACUGAGUGGCUUCAUUAAGGGUCUAUUUAUCUUUCUCUCUACCAGAGACCUAAAAAAAGGCUUGUGACAUGUCCAACACACCAAGGUACCGCCCCACAGGAACCAGAGCAGAUGCAUCCCUGUAUUAGCACAUGAAGAGAAAGCUACGAGUGUGGCAUAGACAUCUAAUGAACCACCCUUCAUCCCCUGAUCAGACUUAUGUGGUACCGCCACCUCACGAUUUCUUACCAGAGAAUGUUUUGCAGGGUAUGGAGCUUAUGAAGGGCUUGGCAUGUGUUGUUAAGAGUAAUCCUGCCUGAACAAAAUAGCAGACCAGAUGAACUCGUGACCUCUAAAAAAGAAAAAAGAUGGGGACCCUCCCAAACAAGCCACAACAAACAGCUUUCUGUAGCCACUCUGUGCCUUUGAUCUGAAGGAGCUGAGAUGAGAUCAAUCUCCUCUUCCCUCUCUUCUCUUUUGCCCUUUUCUCUUUUCCUGUACAACAUCUCCUUAUACGUCUCUUUCCCCUCCUGCUGAGCAGGUGUAUAAAUUGAGGCGCCUUAUUCCUGUGGCACUGGGCCGCGCCUAAAAGUGCAGUCUGUGAAGAGAGCUUUUCUCUGCCUGCCUCUCAUCUUUUAUCCUUUGCAUCGCCUCAUCUCCUUUACUCACCCUUUUUCCUCUCCCUUUAUCCUUCUCCAUCCCCUUUACUCCUUUUAACGCGUUCCCUCGCACUCUUGAAUAUGAAACAGAGGGCCCAAGCCUCUCAUCUAUCUGAAUUCAUCAACACCUCCCCGUCUAUCUUCUUCUGCACGUCUCUCUUUCAGCCUAUUGUCUGUUUAGCUAUACGUCUAAUUAUGCUGUCUCACUUAUGUAAUUAGUGCAAAAAUAAAUGGCUGCCAUAGCUUGGUGUGUUCCCCUCCCUCACCCUUCCCAGUGCAAGCUCUGAGAAAACAAAUUAUGGAGUACAAUAGGUACAAAUGGCUUCUGCACCAAACCACAUGAUGGAUGCAUUCUGGGUUCCCUGCAUCUCAUCCGUUCUCUUUUUUCCCUCACUCUCUUUACUCUUCCUUCUUUCUCCAUUAUCCCCAGCUCUAUAUGUCUCUGUUCGGAAACUAGAGAGGACUUGAGCGCUUUCUCACCCACCUACCCCAUCAUUGGAUGGCUAUAUCAUCCGUCUUCUCUUCUUGGCAAUGACACUAUAUUCACCCUGACAAGAUAUUAAGCAAACUACUUUUUUUCCCCUCCCCAUCUUUUCUUUUUCUCUCUGCUCUGAGCUCUUUCCCCGUUCUCUCCAGUGGUUCCCUUUUCUCCACUAUCCCCCAGAGCAUUCCGUAAACCAUGACUGCAAAGCAAACGCCUGGGACUUUCAAAAGCAAACAGCGAGCGUCCCCGUGCCAUACCCCCAUCUGUGGAUAGUCUGAGCGGGGGAACAAUCGGUCCCUGUACUCCUCCGCUUCGUUCUAUUUCCGGCCCCCAGGGAUCUGCGCAACGCAAAGGAUAUCUCAGUCAGAUGGGUGCAAUGUGCUGGAACAAUGGUUGGACUGCUUCCUCUUUAGAAGAUGGGUGUUUGGUUUACCUUAGCCAGCUUGGGAAGCACUUAGCCAUGUGUUUUGUUUUUCUUUUGUUGUUUUUUUUGCCCUCCGCAUAGCAUCUUUACAAAAACGUAGCAAGCGUCUGCCGCACCACCCUUAUCUGCACUCUUAAGCUGACACAUGGACGCUCAUGAGAGGACACGAUGCUUAGCCCAGGGUGUUGCAUUAUCAACUUUCUGUUAAUCCGCCUCAGACUUUCAGUCUGUUACCCCUUUGUUGCUUUUCACCUCUGUUGUCUGAGAAGAAGAACAGCAGGUUUUCUUUACACUAACACAAGUAUAUCCAUUACCUGGAAUGCUAGGCUCCUGGCAGUAAAUCCUUUUGACCCCCCUGUGCCUUUCUUUCUUUUCUCUCUCCCGCUCCGUCUCUCAUGCUGAGCCCAUUGUUAUCUUUGCAUCAGCUUUCUUUCCCCAAACAGACAGGAGGAGAGAGACACACCUUACCACCACCCACCAUCAAUGCCUCGGCCACCUACACACUUUGCUCUUCGCUCGCUUCUCAGAACCACUCAAUGGCAUUAACGUGUUUUGCCACUCGGGGAACUGCAGUUAAAUUUUCAAUCAGUAACCUUUGACUGACAUCCCUUCAGGUUUUGGAUCUCCUCUUCACCUCCUAGGUUGAGAUUCCUAAGUUUUCCCAGCAAAAAAAAAAAAGAAAAAAAAAGGGAAACAGAAUACAGGCUAUGUUUACUCUAAACCCACAGAGAACCUCCUGAAACAACACAGAGCAGCCCAAGCAAAAACAGACCAACUAUUUUGGUUAUUACUUUGAUCAAUAACAAAAUAUUUGUCCUGGAAUCGCUGCACGUGUGAACUGAUGGAGUUAAAGAAAGUGAUGAAAAGGGAGUUUGGAGAGGAAUGCUGGAUGAAAUCAAAGUAACGGUGAUCUUUAUUCUUCAGUGAGUCCCAAUCACAUUCAUAUCAAAGAUAUUGGCAUGACAAGUAGUAAAGAGAUUCCUUUUUAAUUGUUUGAUACAAAGAAUAGUUGAUACGUAGUCUGUAUGUAGCCUAAAGUGUACGGUUAUUGCCCUGACCACAUGCUGUUUACUAGUGGGCGUGUGUUUAAAUACUGGCAAAAGAUUGGACAUAGGAACUUCCAACUGGACAUUUACUGGUCUGAACUAAGCAAAGCGAAAAUCUGUCAUUUGGUGGUCGACAGUCUAUUUCUUGGUGCAACUCCUCUAUAACAUUCAUGUAGUUGAUUGUGGAGAUGAGGUGUUAAUUGAGUUGCAGUGUCGACUGGACAAUCUGACUGCACCGUCUAGCUAUAGGGGAAAAAAAGCACACGGCCCUGAAGAUGUCGGAAACUCAUCCCAGCCCAUCAGUUACUUUUUCAGUGUCUGCCCUUGACCUCUCUGAGUAUGCCUAUGUGUUGGGGAUGUUGCCUCAGCAAGCUUCUUUUGAUCCAUUACUAUCUGAGCUCUUAGCCCUAGUGCACAGCGCUGAAUAUUUCAGCUCCUCUGCCACCAACAAUCAAAUUUCAUAAAUAGGGAGUGAGAAGUGAAGUAAAAUGGAUCAGCAUCUGGUGUCAAAUUAAUGCUGUCUGGUGGCACUGCAAAUGGGACUUUUCGUUUUUUUGUUUUUUUUCCCGCAAGACUCCCCCUGGCUGCCAAAAUCCAUACAGCUAUCUCUAAACAAGGUUAAAUAACACGGCUGGUGAAGAUAACACAGGAACAGAUAUUGCUGCGACGCAGAAGAUAAAUUUCAAUUUGCUGUUGGUUUUUGUCUCUCGGCAGGAGAUAUGAAAUCCUUGUCUUCCCAGGCAGCAAUUGAUUGGAAAAUAAAAAUGAAUGUGUGGUCCUAUAUGUCUCAUGUUUUUUUUUGUUUUUUUUUCUUUCUUUCUGUCUUGGUUUCUGGGUUUAGAGUCUUCUGGAGCAGUGAUACUGUACAUCUCUCUAGAAGGAGGUGACACUUGCGUUUUUAGGGGAGAUAAAUGCAAUUCAAGCCUUUCUUGAAAUAGCUGCUACUGUAUGAACGCGACUCUUCCCCUUGGGGGGAUGUUUUAAUGAAAGGCACCAAAUUAAUCCCACUUUCCCCCCUCUUUCCAUUACUGUGUUUGCACAGAAGAAUAAAAAGGGUAAAUAACUUUCUGCUUUUUCCACUCUUUUCUAUGCUGAUGAUACAAGGAAGGGGUGUGUGGGGGGGGGGGGGGGGUCUCAAGGCAGGAUGCUGACAUGGCCCUCCUUUGCCCUCCUAGUCCCUUUCAUUUCCUCUCCAGAUCUUCCGACUGACUCAAAGGAAGACAUGGUGAGGAUGUGAGGAUGUGCGGAGACGCACACGGGGACAGAGCGAAGACAAAGACAAAAGGAGGAUGGGCGGAUAGAGAUAAAAAUAAAACUGGAUGAGGCCAAGUGCCAUCAACAGUUUGCUACCUGGCUACUCUUGUGCUUUCCUGUGUUUUGCCUGAGCCAGCAGCGCACAUCCAGUUAAGUUGCUCAGAGCUGAUAACGACGCCUCAGGACACGCUGCCAAGUUCUUUAUCUGUGUUUACCCAAAUGGCAAAACUGAUUAGAGACGAGCAACGUUAUGAAGCUCCAUUGUUCUCUGUUUUAGUUCUGUCUUCUUCUUCCGUAAGGGCGGGGGAAGGGGAAGCGUGAGGAUAUGAAGAGAGCUCGAAAGACAAUGGUCUUCAAGACUGUCACAGAAAACAGAGCGUUAUUAAAAAUCUUGGUCGUGUUGUGCAACUGUUUAGCAUUUCCCCAUCGAAUUUUAAGAUUUUAACACAAAAAUUGCACAGCUCUUCUUCAGAUAAUAUAUUAAGACGCCACAUUCUCUUCAAAAUGAACUCGUCUUGAAAAACACUAUCCAGUUGACUGAACUUUGAAGAUGUGUAAAGUGGCACUGUGAGCACAAAUUGUGAAUGCUUUAUUCAGUUUGAUACACUGCUUCUAAUUUUGUCAAUCUUAUUGUGAAGUACAAAAUGGAGCGGUUCCUGAGUUGUUGCCUAGUUGUGUUGACAGUCAACAUACACAGACGUUUCACCGACACCCUGUUACAAAAGUACCGAAGCAUCAACAAUUAGUUUAUAAAAUGUAUGUUACCUAAGACACUUUGAAUUGAUGUGGAUAAUUCUAGAUUAAAGAGAGAUUUUUGAAAUGCAGUCUGAGAUUCAUAAAACCUCUAUAUUGUUUUUGAAAAAGAAAAACAAAAUGCAUUUUAUGUCUGUAAAACACAUUUUAUGAUUUGUAUGAUUUUAACGCCUCUUCCUCUCAUGAAUCCAACAUCAGGCAUCAUCUCAUCUUAAGAGCUGGAUGUAUUGUCAACCUUUACAUAUUAGGAUAAUACUACUGAUUAAUGGGUAUUUCAAGAAUCUAGCAAUUUUAAAUAUGAUUUCAAGACUGCUGAAAUGCUCCGUCCAUCAUAGUUUGUCUUGUUGUAGUGUUUUUGUUUUGUUUUUUAAGAAAAAAAAAAGUGAUGGAGAAACAGAGUUUUCUCCAACAGUGUGGAUGAUAGUUCAACACAAUGAUGUCCACCUGUUGCUGUGCAGUGCAGUUACCCCAGAUUUUUUUUUUAAAAACAAAGCAUUUAGUUAAUUUAUUCCAUAGAUCCGUUACGUUUGUAUUGCCGUGAAACCAUAGCGUAUUUACUUAGCGUGAUCUUACAGUGAGAAAUCUCAUCCUGACCCAUGUCUAAUUCAGAUUCCACCUCCAGUACAAAACCCUUCAAGAAACCCGUUACUCAGAGCUCAUACAGCAUACCCAGCAGAGAGGAAAAUAUCCAUAUCUUUGCCAUGACUUUGUCUUCUAAAUAAUGCAAUACAUUGGUGUUCGGGACUCAGACGUGUUCGAAUUCUGCUGUGUUUGCACUAUCUCGCACCUCGUCUCUCACACACCUCACUGGCUUGCUGGGGUUUUCUGCCUCUCCAAACUUUCUACCAUGGAAUCCUUUUAUCAUUAGGGCUUAAAAUUUUUUUUUUUUUUUUUUUAUUUUUUUGAAGAAGUAAGGACAAAGCAAAGCGAUUCUAACCAUGAUUCUGGGUUUGUUUGACAAGAGCAACAAGACAGAAAAAAAAAAAAAAAAAAAAAAAAA